AGGUAUGAAAUUUUACUCCUUUUGCACCUACUUUUUAACACUCUCGUAGAAUCUAUUUCUAAAAUGACGAGAUAUUAUUGCUUAUUCAUGUCAAAUCUAGAGCAUACUAAAUGAAGAGGCUAAAACCGUAUUGAGUGAUGCUGAUAACCUAACUGAAGAGAAAGUCGAUGACGUAUUGAAGAAGUUUCUUGAAGAUUUCAAAGUAGGUUCAUUGGAAAGCAAAGGCUGGCCUAAAACUGGUGGUGCUUAUGUCUUAUCUAAAGCUGCUAUUAAUGCUUAUACAAGAAUUGUUGCGAAGAGUUUCCCGACUAUAAGUGUCAAUAGUAUUUGCCCUGGUUAUGUCAUCACAGAUAUAACCAGCAAUACUGGUGUGUUAACAGCUGAAGAAGGUGCUGCAAGUGUUGUGACGCUAGCACUACUUCCCAAUGGGGGUCCGUCUGGCCAAUUCUAUAACCGGACCGAAGUCACUACCUUCUAAUAAGUACUAGAACUUGUGAUUUAAGGACAAAGUGUGUUACUUUGCUUUUUUAUCAUUGUUAUUAUUGUUGUUGUUUUUGUUGCAUCAUGUUUUAUAGAUAUAAUAACAAGACUUAUUAUAUAUCUAAUGAAUAACACGUGAUAAAUUACUAGCUAAUUCUGUGUAUUCAUCUUGUACUAUUAAUUAAGCGAUGUACCAAGUUGUAUGUCAGAUUAAGAAAGUUGCUUAUCUGCAAAAGUAUAAUUGUAUAUAUUGUGGAAUGAAAUUUCAAAUUUAGAGUAUGUAUAAAGCUGAUAUAUAUUAUUGGAUGGAGAAACUUGAGCUUGAGUUUAAAUCAAGUGGUUACUGUAAUUAAAUUAAGGACCUAUUGUUUCAGAGAACUUUAGCUUAAAUUUUAGUUGAAACAAUCAUUGAUUAGGCUUUAUCCAGAAAGACUCUGGAUUAUAGGGUCCCUUACUGGUAUAUUUUGUUCUUCACCUUCCAGUGUACUAGGGUCCACUGUGAAGGAAAAUUUCAGUCUUCUGAUAGUGAUUGGGCAUGUUGUGUUGUGUUGAUGAUAUAUAUUUGAAGCACCUCAGGUUAUUGCUUCACUCUUGGUUCUGUUGUUGGUGAAUAAGUAGAAUGUCCGGGGUUCGAACCCCGACUCCUGCAUAUAUAAUGCAAUGUUUCUACCAACUGAGCUAAGUUCGGAGGGACGUGUGUCUUGUCUGCUUAUUGCUCUUUAAAUGUAUGUUUUGAUAUUCAAUAAAAUAUUGUGCUUUCCACAUCUCAAAAAUUUCUUGGUUCAAUAUUCUUAUUCCAUCCUUGUACAUUUCUUUUAAUAACCAACAACUUCAUUAUUGAAUUUUCUCUAUUGGCCUUUCUUGAUAGCAUUGGGACCAUACCAAUGACAAUUAAAACAAUGCAACUUCUAUAAAUUUUGUGAUUAAACAAUUUCCAUAACAAAAAGUUAUACUGAAGAGUACAAGAACUUGGCUUAUAAAAUGUUUAAUUUUUUCCAAGUGGUGAGGGUCUCGGUACCCUUAAGUAUGUGGUCGGGCGAUUCUUAGCUCAUGCAUAUGGAAAACAUUCAGCUGGGAGGGGAGAACCCACCUUGUGUGCUCCACUGGUUUCUGACAAAAAUUAUUAAUCGCUAACGGCGGCAAAAACUUCGUACCAAUAUCAUGGUAACCAAAAAAAAUGCUCAAUUUUUAACAUGCACAAAGUAAUUUUAAAUAUGACAUAGUCAAAUUCAACAGGAUCAUCAAUAUCUUCUUCUUUAAUGGAAUGUUGAUCAGGUCAUACUUUAUUUACCUAAAAGACAAUAUACAUAAACUGAACCUAAUCAUAGAGACCAACGGAAAAGACCAAAUGACAAAUUGCAUAGUGACAAAAAUAACAAGCUGGCAGGAAAAUAACCUUAAACGGCAUAGUAAUUUAGUAUAUUAUGUUUGGAGCUGCAUUGUUUUUGGUUUCAUUGUUAUGAUAAGCAUCCAUUCACAUUCCAAACAUUAAACUUGAAACUUAAGAUGGGAAAAGCUACUAAAAGGUAAUAUUAGAAUCACAUGUCGUAAAUUGUUCUUAUGCGGUCACGGUUGCAGUUACACUGUGAUCCUUGAUAUUACAGCAAUAUAUGGCUGAUGCAGCUGUAAUUGCAUUUGUAGACGGCAAUUUAGACCUAUGAUUAGAAUAAUAUAUUUUAAUUCACGCCGUUAAAUUAUUGUUAUGUAUUCCUCAUCCCUAUAAACUUACAUGUUUUGAUCCUUUUAGUUUUUUGGGAUGAGUUUGUCAGGUAUGCAGUGGUGACUGGAUCGAACAAAGGAAUUGGGUUCGAGAUAGUAAGGCAGUUAGCUUCAGCUGAAAUUAAUGUGGUGCUUACAGCAAGAGACGAGAAAAGGGGUCUUCAAGCAUUAGAAACACUCAAAUCCUUUGGUCUAUCCGAUUUUGUUGUCUUUCAUCAAUUAGAUAUUGCUGAUGCUUCAAGUAUAGCCUCUCUUGCAAAUUUUGUCAAGUCUGAAUUUGGAAAACUUGAUAUCCUGGUAACAUGCAAAAAAUGGUUCUCCUUUCCACUUUUUUGUAGUGAAUAUAAGUUUUUCAUGUUACUAGCUUAAGGAUUUGGAUGUACCGCAGUCAAGAUUUUUCGGAUUUGCAGCCGUUGCGGAUAGCAGGCCAUCUGAUCAAAAAGAUUGCACGGAUCAUAUUACAACUAAGAAUUUUAAGUCAAAUAACAUAGUUGGAAUGUGAGGCGUCUUAUCUUGAUGAGAUGAUCUGCAAAGCUCAACUACAACAAAUUUGAAAAAUCUUGACUGCAGGUAAUCGCAAUCUUGUGCUUUCGUACCUUGCAAUAUUCGUUGUUCUACAUGCACGCUUCAUACUUAUUGUUGUUCCGAGGCACAAGAUAUCAUUCAUCUCGGUCUUCUCUACCGCUGAGAGAUGCGCUGACAUAUGUGCAAAUCCCUUUAACACUUCAACACACUUUUGUUGAACCAAAAUUGCCCUCAUCUUCACCUUCCACAACCCAAAGUCGUUACCCCCGGUGAACUUCUCAAUUUCCCAUUUUGAACCCAUGGUGCUUAAUCCAAUUAACCCUUUGCCCCACGGUGGGCGCCAAUUGUUGUGAAUCCAAAGAUAACCACACCAAUAACCUUUAGUGUGUGGAACAAAUGAAUUGAAGCAACCAAACAAAAUCAAUGAACAAUAAUCACACAAAAGCUAAAACAAGUAAAAGCCAUUAAGAACACGAAUAAUUGUUUACCCGGUUCGGUUAAAACCAACUUGGGGGAGAGAGAGAUCUUCGUUCCACUAUCAAUCAAAGAACUUGAUUACAAAGAUUCAAUACGAAGAGUUGCAAGAAUUUAUAGUUUUCCAAAAUUCUACCCUUUUUACGAAUCUCUCCCCUGUGAUCAAGAGAUUCAAUCAAUAAGUGUUUACAAGGUGUUAGAAUCACUUUCCCAACCCAAGAUUUAUACCCAAGAGAAACCCUCUUAGGGUCUGUUUGGUUCGGGGGUUUUGGAGGAGAGGGGAGGCGAGUGGAGGGGAGGUUGAGGAAUAUUUAAAAACCUAGCUUGAUGUUGGUUGCAAAAACCCUUGAAAAACCCUUUCUCUCUCUUCCUGGCGGCUGCACAACAACAUGACAACACUAUAUAUCAGGUUUUUGCGCCUCAUACCCCAGAAUUUUGAGCACCAUGCGCAAAAGGCAGCAGCACCUGCUGCAACUGCACCUCAUACUCCAAAACUGGCGCUAAAUUAAUAAAAUUAACAAAAUUAACAAAAUUUGUUCAAUGCAGGUUAACAAUGCAGGGAUUAUUGGAACUAUAAUUCAUGACAAAGAGUUAUUUAAUCUAGCUAUCAUGAACCGUGGUGUAAGUAUGCACUGAAAAUGGAUUAUUAACAUACUCUCUAUAUUUCUACUAAUUUUCCAAUAUUUUAUCCUUGAUAAUGAAAUGAAAACUUCUAUUAAUUCUGCUUGGAGCUUCGACCGUUCAACAAUAAGUAUUCAUGAGUUAUCCUUUGCAGGCAUUAUCAGAAGAUAAUAGAAGAAAGGCAGUGACUCAAACAUAUGAGUUAGCUGAAGAAUGCUUGCAAACAAAUUAUUAUGGAGCUAAAAUAACUUCUGAAUCACUUCUGCCACUCCUAAAGUUAUCUGAUUCACCAAGAAUUGUGAAUGUAUCAUCAACUUUAGGGCAGUUAGAGGUAUACUAUUUUACUCCUUGCCUUAAUAAAUGCAUCCGUAGAUUAUUUCAGGAGAGUGAAAAUUGAUUCUGAAGACUUAAAAUUAAUUUUGGCAUGUUUCGGAAUUCCUGAAUAGAAUUGAUUCUAACUCGAAACUAUCAUUUGGAGUUUUGGCCUCCAAACAUAAUUUUUACAGUCAAAUCUCUUACAUUCAACUCACUUUUAGCCAAAAUCAAUUUUUGUUACCGCAGAAUCAAACACACUAAAAGGAAAUCUUGCUCAUCAUAAUGUUUAGGUAUAGAGUCAUUUUGCAAUCAAUGUGUAAGGUAACCUUAAGUAUAAAUAGAAGUAGUGACAUUUACCAUCAACCCACCUUUAGUAUCUAUAUGUAUAUAGAUAAGAUAGUAUUGUUGCACCAGACUUUUCCAACAAGUUAAACAAGAGAAAUAAUACCACCCUACAAAACCCGGCUUGUAAGGUGAAGAUUUCCCUCACUUAUAUUGCAACCGAUAGUCCGAUCAAAAACAUGAUACCAUCUUAGAGCCUCGUGGAGGAGGCUCUGAUAUCAUCUUAGAAUUGGGAGUUGGGCCUAACUCAACCCUACAAAACAUAUUUGUAAGGUGAGGAUUUCCCUCACUUAUAAACAUAUAUUCAGGCGAUGUGAGACUUUUUAACAAUAACCAAAUGCUAUUUUCAGUAUAGAAAAAUAAGCUUAGUCCUAAAAAUAGGAAACAGACUCGCUGCCGCAUCACGCAGUUACUAAUUUCGCUGUCUGAUCUAUAUUAAUGGUCAAGAUCAUUUAAAAUUGAUAUAGUGAAUAUGUAAUCUGAGGCGUCACGGUCUCAUGAUUUUCUCUGUUAAUUUGCAUGAGGCCUUAUUGCUUAUUCAUGUCAAAUCCAGAGUAUACCAAAUGGAUGGCCAAAAAGUUUCUUCAAUGACGUCGAUAACCUUACAGAAGAGAAAGUGGAUAAAGUAUUGAAGAAAUUUCUAAAAGAUUUCAAAGAAGGUUCAUUAGAUCAAGACAAUGGCUGGCCUAAGACUUUUAGUGCUUAUAUCAUUUCUAAAGCUGCUAUGAAUGCAUAUACAAGAAUUCUUGCUAAGAAUUUUCCUACUUUAUGUAUCAAUAGUGUUUGUCCUGGUUAUGUUGUAACAGAUAUAACUGCCAAUACCGGUUUGUUAACAGUUGAAGAAGGUGCUGCUAGUGUUGUGAGGCUCGCACUACUUCGCAACAGUAGUCCAUCUGGCCUAUUCUUUUACCGGAGUGGAGUUUCUUCCUUUUGAUUAGUAGUAAUUAAGGAUAAACUGCUGAUUUUGCUUGUCAGUUAUGAGUCUACAUUGGUUGUCAAAUAGUAUUAUGAGCUGUAUAUUUUAUUAUAAAAUUUGGAAACAUGUCAUAAAUAUUCGACUAAGUUUUACAUUAGCUGUCGACUGCCUAACACAACACUCUCCUUUUAUCCGGGCUUGGGACCGGCUAUGCAUAACAAGGUUAACAUAACAUAGGCUUUGAUAUAAAAUGAGACAACAAAAUUCGAAAAACUAAUUUUGAUGGUUAAUUAAUUUGGUUCAAUAGAUGGUUAAUGAAUAUAACAAGGUAACCAUUCACAAAACAAAAUUAAUCACUAUUUUGAAUGUCUUUAAUCGGAAUUUUCUUUUUUUUUUUGACAGGAUUAAUCAGAAUUUUCUUAGGUGUAUAUUUAACACAAAUCAUAUAUAUUUGAACAUAAAUUGGACAGUUGUAAUAGAUAUCAUGUAUAUUUGAACAUUGGCUUCUUCAAAAAAAAAUGUAUAUUUGAACAUCUAAAAAUCUUGAUUAAAUGGAUGGUUUAUAAGUUGUGCAUACCUUGUUACAUUCAUUAACUUUAGUGAACGUAAUUUAUCACAUAUUUGAACGAUGUUAACUAUUUAAAUUGUUGUCAAAAUAUCAUUUCAUUAUUAACUAUUGUUAUUGAGACAUUACCAUAUAUAUUCUUGAUUAAGUAACAAGACUAUUUAAGAAUGACAGAAAUUAAAAGUGUGCAACUGUGAUACUCUCCAUCCAUUUCUAUAUACCAUAAUCUAACUCUAAUUAUAAGUAAUAUUUUUUUAAAAAAAAAUUGCCUCAAAUUAAUAGUCAUAGAAACAUGUAUAGAGAGGUAGGAGGCAAUAAUCAAUCACUCAGAAAAGUAGAAUUUCUGUGUAGUUUCACCAUAUCCCAAAACAAGAACGUUUCUCUUGUUAUAUACUACCGGUACUUUCGAAUCAACAUGCAUAGCAGAGAAGCACAGAACUAGCUGAAGUGAAGCAUUAUUCCAACUAAAGAUGGGAGAAGCUGCAGAAAGGUAUAGUAACAAACUUUCUUUGCUAAAGUUUUAGAAUUCGUUGGUGCAGUAACGGUUGCGAUUGUGUCACAAACUUUUGCAUUGCAGCCACAAACAUCAAUUUAAUCUUAAAGUAUAUGAAAAUGUGUCAAUCUAGUCUAUGAUAUCUCAAAAUUAAUGAUGUCGCAAUCGCAACUCAGAUCAUGGUCACAUACCAAGUUCAGAAAACUUUCUUUUAUAGAUUUUUUUCAAAUUAUCAAACCAUGUAGGUUAUGUUUAUUUGCAGGAUUGCAGUGGUGACCGGAUCAAACAAAGGAAUUGGGUUUGAGAUUGUUAAGCAAUUAGCUUCAGCCGGAAUCAAAGUAGUGCUUACUGCAAGAGACGAAAAAAGAGGUCUUCAAGCUUUGGAAACACUCAAAGCCUUUGGUUUAUCUGAAUUCGUUGUUUUUCAUCAACUUGAUGUGGCUGAUGCUUCAAGUGUAGCCUCUCUUGCACAUUUUAUCAAAUCCCAAUUUGGCAAACUUGAUAUUCUGGUAACAUGAAAAAUUGCAUGAUAGUGUAAAUGAAAGUUUGUUACAUUUUGAAGGGAAACUCUUGCUUCUCAUUUUGUCAUGUAUAAUACAAGUAUGUUUCAUUAAGAAAAUUUGUUGAAUGCAGGUUAACAAUGCAGGGAUUAGUGGAACUGUAAUUAAUGACACAGGUUUAGCUACUACGCUUAUCUCUAACCAUCGAGUAAGUGUUUAUAGGUGUUUUCACCUUUAAGUAAUGGAAACUGACUUAUGAAAAAAAUAUUGAUAAUAUUAUUUGAUUUGUGUCCAUGGCAGGUGUUAUCAGAAGAUGAAAAGAAAAAGGCAGUGACUCAAACAUAUGAGUUAGCUGAAGAAUGCUUGCAAAUAAAUUAUUAUGGUACUAAAAUAACUACUGAAUCACUUUCGCCACUCCUAAAGUUAUCUGAUUCACCAAGAGUUGUGAAUGUCUCAUCCACUUUAGGGAAGUUAGGGGUAAGCUGUUUUACUCCUUAUUGUGUUAAUGAAUUCUUAGAUUUUUCAUAAACGUUUGUGCCUACUGCCUAGUUUGCCAACAAGUCAAAAUUUGUUAUGUCGUCACUUUAAAACUCUCUUUUAAACGUUCUUUUAUUGGGUGGAAUUCAGGUAGGUCUCGCCACAACCAGACCUACAGGAAUUUCAUCAAAAAGAAUGUUUAAAAGAGUGUUACAAGUUGAGUGUUACUCUUACCAUUAUACUAAAAAGUAUAUGUUAUUUAUAGUACAGAAAAAUAAGUUUGGUUAUAAAAAGUUCAUAUUAUUAAAUUUAUCAUUGUCUCUUAAAAUUUGGCUAUAAUAUGAAUGAUGUAUGAAGCCUAUUGCUUUUCAUGUAAAAUCCAGAGCCUAAAAAAUGAAUGGACUAAAAAAGUCUUUAGUGAUGUUGAUAACCUAACCGAAGAGAAAGUGGAUGAAGUAUUGAAGAAGUUUCUAGAAGAUUUCAAAGAAGGUUCAUUGGAAAGCAAAGACUGGCCA
RNAcentral lists this long non-coding RNA (7942 nucleotides) under Trifolium pratense (red clover). RNAcentral describes it as "long non-coding RNA (TPRA_LNC007098)". Lineage: Eukaryota; Viridiplantae; Streptophyta; Magnoliopsida; Fabales; Fabaceae. The record is from RNAcentral.